Molecule: ribosomal RNA, 466 nt
Filed under: uncultured bacterium
Lineage: Bacteria
Description: partial 16S ribosomal RNA
Rfam family: Bacterial small subunit ribosomal RNA
Source: RNAcentral
GACGAACGCUGGCGGCGCGCCUAACACAUGCAAGUCGAACGAGCGAGAGAGAGCUUGCUUUCUCGAGCGAGUGGCGAACGGGUGAGUAACGCGUGAGGAACCUGCCUCAAAGAGGGGGACAACAGUUGGAAACGACUGCUAAUACCGCAUAAGCCCACGACCCGGCAUCGGGUAGAGGGAAAAGGAGCAAUCCGCUUUGAGAUGGCCUCGCGUCCGAUUAGCUAGUUGGUGAGGUAACGGCCCACCAAGGCGACGAUCGGUAGCCGGACUGAGAGGUUGAACGGACACAUUGGGACUGAGACACGGCCCAGACUCCUACGGGAGGCAGCAGUGGGGAAUAUUGCAAAAUGGGGGAAACCCUGAUGCAGCGACGCCGCGUGGAGGAAGAAGGUCUUCGGAUUGUAAACUCCUGUUGUGGAGGAAGAUAAUGACGGUACUCAACAAGGAAGUGACGGCUAACUACGUG